ACUCAAAUGAAUUGACGGGGACCCGCACAAGCGGUGGAGCAUGUGGUUUAAUUCGACGCAACGCGAAGAACCUUACCUGGGCUUGAACUGCUAGUGGUAGUCUGCUGGAAACAGUGGGCGACCCGCAAGGGAGCUAGUAGAGGUGCUGCAUGGUUGUCGUCAGCUCGUGUCGUGAGAUGUUGGGUUAAGUCCCGCAACGAGCGCAACCCCUAUCUUAUGUUGCUAAUUCCGCAAGGAAAGCACUCUUAAGAAACUGCCUUCGAUAAGAAGGAGGAAGGCGGGGACGACGUCAAAUCCUCAUGGCCCUUAUGUCCAGGGCAACACACGUGCUACAAUGGCCGGUACAAAGGGAAGCAAUACCGCAAGGUGGAGCUAAACUCAGAAAGCCGGCCCCAGUUCAGAUCGUGGGCUGCAACUCGCCCACGUGAAGUUGGAAUCGCUAGUAAUCGCGAAUCAGCAGGUCGCGGUGAAUACGUUCCCGGGUCUUGUACACACCGCCCGU
This 502-nucleotide ribosomal RNA is filed under the name uncultured bacterium. RNAcentral's name for it is "partial 16S ribosomal RNA". It matches the Rfam family "Bacterial small subunit ribosomal RNA", at positions 899 to 1397 of the family's 1533-position model. The record is from RNAcentral.